This 497-nucleotide ribosomal RNA is filed under the name uncultured bacterium. Its description in RNAcentral is "partial 16S ribosomal RNA". It matches the Rfam family "Bacterial small subunit ribosomal RNA", at positions 28 to 507 of the family's 1533-position model. The record is from RNAcentral.
GAUGAACGCUGGCGGCGUGCCUAAUACAUGCCAGUCGAGCGAACGGACGAGAAGCUUGCUCCUCUGAUGUUAGCGGCGGACGGGUGAGUAACACGUGGAUAACCUACCUAUAAGACUGGGAUAACUUCGGGAAACCGGAGCUAAUACCGGAUGAUAUUUUGAACCGCAUGGUUCAAAAGUGAAAGACGGUCUUGCUGUCACUUAUAGAUGGAUCCGCGCUGCAUUAGCUAGUUGGUAAGGUAACGGCUUACCAAGGCAACGAUGCAUAGCCGACCUGAGAGGGUGAUCGGCCACACUGGAACUGAGACACGGUCCAGACUCCUACGGGAGGCAGCAGUAGGGAAUCUUCCGCAAUGGGCGAAAGCCUGACGGAGCAACGCCGCGUGAGUGAUGAAGGUCUUCGGAUCGUAAAACUCUGUUAUUGGGGAAGAACAUAUGUGUAAGUAACUGUGGACAUCUUGACGGUACCUAAUCAGAAAGCCACGGCUAACUACGUG